Long non-coding RNA from Mirounga angustirostris (Northern elephant seal), 814 nucleotides. RefSeq lists it as uncharacterized. The record is from RefSeq and is a predicted model, not a curated record. NCBI's taxonomy places the organism in Eukaryota, Metazoa, Chordata, Mammalia, Carnivora, Phocidae. The transcript has 4 exons.
GUCGCCGCGAUGCCUUUUCUGAACCACCCAUGACUGCAUUCCAGAGGCCAGACUGGGCAGAGUAAGACAAGCACCCCACGACUCCACAGUGGUGGUCGUUGAGCUGAUGCUGAAAGCCAUCGCUGUGAAUGUACACUGGAUCUUCCCAGCGCUGAAGGAGCCAGAAGCGCCACCGGAUGCCUUGACUUCCGUCCCUCCUUCCUUCAGCAAACAUAUGCUGAUUGGGUGUUCACCGAGGCCAGGCAUACCCUCAACACCAGGAAUACGGAGACCAUCCUUAAUCCAACCAACAUCUACGAUCAUCCCUGAGCAUGAGAGUUCUGCAGAAUGGAGUUUUGGGAAAUGACAUGUUGAACGGUUAUAAUGGCAUUAAAAUUUCCAUCAGAAUACAGAGAAAAGACUGGAAGAAAAAAAUAACAAAAUCUCCUGGGCCAUUGAUCAGUGUUGCUUUCACAGAAGGGUCUUUCUUAGAGCAAAAUUUCUCUGCAAGCAAUGCAUUCUCUGAAUUGUUGGUGACUGGAUUGACAAGAAAAAUGGAGCCAAUAUUGUGGUAAAGCAGCAUCAGAAACAUCCUCCAGGUCCUCGUGAUACAAUGCACUUCAAGAAUAAUGAGGGUGUCAACUCCCCAGUCCACCACCCUAGAGAGAAGAAAGCUUGUUGAGAUUGGAGAGAUACCAUUGGGUGGCAUGGCUUCUGCAUGUGAAAGCACUUUGGUGAGGAGUCUCGCCCAUUCCUUGAAGACAGGAGUCAUAAUUUUGGGGUCUGGCCUGGUUGUUGCUUAUUAUUGUCAUCCUGAUUUUUAAAAACAAUAUUG